UACGUAGGGUGCAAGCGUUAAUCGGAAUUACUGGGCGUAAAGCGUGCGUAGGUGGUUCGUUAAGUCUGAUGUGAAAGCCCUGGGCUCAACCUGGGAAUGGCAUUGGAAACUGGCGAUCUAGAGUGCGGUAGAGGGUAGUGGAAUUCCCGGUGUAGCAGUGAAAUGCGUAGAGAUCGGGAGGAACAUCUGUGGCGAAGGCGACUGCCUGGACCAGCACUGACACUGAGGCACGAAAGCGUGGGGAGCAAACAGG
RNAcentral lists this ribosomal RNA (253 nucleotides) under uncultured bacterium. Its description in RNAcentral is "partial 16S ribosomal RNA". It matches the Rfam family "Bacterial small subunit ribosomal RNA", at positions 524 to 776 of the family's 1533-position model. The record is from RNAcentral.